UAGGGAAUCUUCGGCAAUGGACGAAAGUCUGACCGAGCAACGCCGCGUGAGUGAAGAAGGUUUUCGGAUCGUAAAACUCUGUUGUUAGAGAAGAACAAGGACGUUAGUAACUGAACGUCCCCUGACGGUAUCUAACCAGAAAGCCACGGCUAACUCCGUGCCAGCAGCCGCGGUAAUACGUAGGUGGCAAGCGUUGUCCGGAUUUAUUGGGCGUAAAGCGAGCGCAGGCGGUUUCUUAAGUCUGAUGUGAAAGCCCCCGGCUCAACCGGGGAGGGUCAUUGGAAACUGGGAGACUUGAGUGCAGAAGAGGAGAGUGGAAUUCCAUGUGUAGCGGUGAAAUGCGUAGAUAUAUGGAGGAACACCAGUGGCGAAGGCGGCUCUCUGGUCUGUAACUGUCGCUGAGGCUCGAAAGCGUGGGGAGCAAACAGG
Molecule: ribosomal RNA, 429 nt
Filed under: Gemmatimonadota bacterium
Lineage: Bacteria; Pseudomonadati; Gemmatimonadota
Description: Gemmatimonadetes bacterium partial 16S ribosomal RNA
Rfam family: Bacterial small subunit ribosomal RNA
Source: RNAcentral